Molecule: ribosomal RNA, 448 nt
Filed under: uncultured bacterium
Lineage: Bacteria
Description: SSU rRNA
Rfam family: Bacterial small subunit ribosomal RNA
Source: RNAcentral
AGAGCGAACGCUGGCGGCAUGCUUAACACAUGCAAGUCUCACGGGCAGCAAUGUCAGUGGCGGACGGGUGAGUAACGCGUAGGUAUCUAUCCAUGGGUGGGGGAUAACGUCGGGAAACUGACGCUAAUACCGCAUGACAUCUGAGGAUCAAAGGCGCGAGUCGCCUGUGGAGGAGCCUGCGUACGAUUAGCUAGUUGGUGGGGUAAAGGCCUACCAAGGCGACGAUCGUUAGCUGGUCUGAGAGGAUGAUCAGCCACACUGGGACUGAGACACGGCCCAGACUCCUACGGGAGGCAGCAGUGGGGAAUAUUGGACAAUGGGCGAAAGCCUGAUCCAGCAAUGCCGCGUGUGUGAAGAAGGUCUUCGGAUUGUAAAGCACUUUCGGCGGGGACGAUGAUGACGGUACCCGCAGAAGAGCCCCGGCUAACUUCGCGCCAGCAGCCGCGGU